Molecule: ribosomal RNA, 751 nt
Filed under: Rhodococcus (subgen. Prescottella) equi
Lineage: Bacteria; Bacillati; Actinomycetota; Actinomycetes; Mycobacteriales; Nocardiaceae
Description: Prescottella equi bacterial SSU rRNA
Rfam family: Bacterial small subunit ribosomal RNA
Source: RNAcentral
CUGGGAUAAGCCUGGGAAACUGGGUCUAAUACCGGAUAUGAGCUCCUGUCGCAUGGCGGGGGUUGGAAAGGUUUACUGGUGCAGGAUGGGCCCGCGGCCUAUCAGCUUGUUGGUGGGGUAAUGGCCUACCAAGGCGACGACGGGUAGCCGGCCUGAGAGGGCGACCGGCCACACUGGGACUGAGACACGGCCCAGACUCCUACGGGAGGCAGCAGUGGGGAAUAUUGCACAAUGGGCGAAAGCCUGAUGCAGCGACGCCGCGUGAGGGAUGACGGCCUUCGGGUUGUAAACCUCUUUCAGCAGGGACGAAGCGAGAGUGACGGUACCUGCAGAAGAAGCACCGGCCAACUACGUGCCAGCAGCCGCGGUAAUACGUAGGGUGCGAGCGUUGUCCGGAAUUACUGGGCGUAAAGAGCUCGUAGGCGGUUUGUCGCGUCGUCCGUGAAAACUUGGGGCUCAACCCCAAGCUUGCGGGCGAUACGGGCAGACUUGAGUACUGCAGGGGAGACUGGAAUUCCUGGUGUAGCGGUGAAAUGCGCAGAUAUCAGGAGGAACACCGGUGGCGAAGGCGGGUCUCUGGGCAGUAACUGACGCUGAGGAGCGAAAGCGUGGGUAGCGAACAGGAUUAGAUACCCUGGUAGUCCACGCCGUAAACGGUGGGCGCUAGGUGUGGGUUUCCUUCCACGGGAUCCGUGCCGUAGCUAACGCAUUAAGCGCCCCGCCUGGGGAGUACGGCCGCAAGGCUAAAACU